CUUUGUGGUUCACUGAUUUGAAGAGCUUGCUCAGAUAUGACGAUGGACAUUGCAAAGAGUGGCGAACGGGUGAGUAACACGUGGGAAACCUACCUCUUAGCAGGGGAUAACAUUUGGAAACAGAUGCUAAUACCGUAUAACAAUGACAACCGCAUGGUUGUUAUUUAAAAGAUGGUUCUGCUAUCACUAAGAGAUGGUCCCGCGGUGCAUUAGCUAGUUGGUAAGGUAAUGGCUUACCAAGGCGAUGAUGCAUAGCCGAGUUGAGAGACUGAUCGGCCACAAUGGGACUGAGACACGGCCCAUACUCCUACGGGAGGCAGCAGUAGGGAAUCUUCCACAAUGGGCGAAAGCCUGAUGGAGCAACGCCGCGUGUGUGAUGAAGGGUUUCGGCUCGUAAAACACUGUUGUAAGAGAAGAAUGACAUUGAGAGUAACUGUUCAAUGUGUGACGGUAUCUUACCAGAAAGGAACGGCUAAAUACGUGCCAGCAGCCGCGGUAAUACGUAUGUUCCAAGCGUUAUCCGGAUUUAUUGGGCGUAAAGCGAGCGCAGACGGUUAUUUAAGUCUGAAGUGAAAGCCCUCAGCUCAACUGAGGAAUUGCUUUGGAAACUGGAUGACUUGAGUGCAGUAGAGGAAAGUGGAACUCCAUGUGUAGCGGUGAAAUGCGUAGAUAUAUGGAAGAACACCAGUGGCGAAGGCGGCUUUCUGGACUGUAACUGACGUUGAGGCUCGAAAGUGUGGGUAGCAAACAGGAUUAGAUACCCUGGUAGUCCACACCGUAAACGAUGAGUGCUAGGUGUUUGAGGGUUUCCGCCCUUAAGUGCCGCAGCUAACGCAUUAAGCACUCCGCCUGGGGAGUACGACCGCAAGGUUGAAACUCAAAGGAAUUGACGGGGACCCGCACAAGCGGUGGAGCAUGUGGUUUAAUUCGAAGCAACGCGAAGAACCUUACCAGGUCUUGACAUCCCUUGACAACUCCAGAGAUGGAGCGUUCCCUUCGGGGACAAGGUGACAGGUGGUGCAUGGUUGUCGUCAGCUCGUGUCGUGAGAUGUUGGGGUUAAGUCCCGCAACGAGCGCAACCCUUAUUACUAGUUGCCAGCAUUCAGUUGGGCACUCUAGUGAGACUGCCGGUGACAAACCGGAGGAAGGUGGGGAUGACGUCAAAUCAUCAUGCCCCUUAUGACCUGGGCUACACACGUGCUACAAUGGCGUAUACAACGAGUUGCCAACCCGCGAGGGUGAGCUAAUCUCUUAAAGUACGUCUCAGUUCGGAUUGUAGGCUGCAACUCGCCUACAUGAAGUCGGAAUCGCUAGUAAUCGCGGAUCAGCACGCCGCGGUGAAUACGUUCCCGGGUCUUGUACACACCGCCCGUCACACCAUGAGAGUU
RNAcentral lists this ribosomal RNA (1388 nucleotides) under Weissella confusa. RNAcentral's name for it is "bacterial SSU rRNA". It matches the Rfam family "Bacterial small subunit ribosomal RNA", at positions 67 to 1412 of the family's 1533-position model. Lineage: Bacteria; Bacillati; Bacillota; Bacilli; Lactobacillales; Lactobacillaceae. The record is from RNAcentral.